This is a long non-coding RNA of Esox lucius (northern pike), 223 nucleotides long. RefSeq lists it as uncharacterized. NCBI's taxonomy places the organism in Eukaryota, Metazoa, Chordata, Actinopteri, Esociformes, Esocidae. The transcript has 3 exons. The record is from RefSeq and is a predicted model, not a curated record.
UGGAAAGUCAAGAGAGUCUGCAUGAGGACCAUGACUGAUGAUGAAGAGGAGGAGGAAGUUGGGAAUGAGAGUUCUACGGUGAGUCAAGAGAAUCAAGAUGAGGACCCUGACAAUGAAGAGGAGGAAGAUAUGAAUGAGGAUAUUUCUGAGAGUGAGGAGAAUCCAGAUGAAUGCCAUGAAAAUGAAGAGGAGGAAGAUAUGAAUGAGGUAAUAUAUUCAUAUG